AUGGUUGGUUUUGUUGAUUUUCCUCAAAUCUUUCAAGUUUUAACGAGUUCUAACUUGGUUUUGAAGAGUUUUGGAGCUAAGAUCAAGUUUUGGAGCUUGGAGACCCAAGGAGCUAGAUUUCUCCCAUCUCCGAGUUUAGAUCGCCUCCCCUCUCGAUCUCCAAGAGGUAAGAGUAGAUCCUUAGCUCAUUUCAUGUUUUAAACAAGUUUUAUGAAAGUUUAUGCGGUAGAAAUGCGUGUUU
Molecule: long non-coding RNA, 241 nt
Filed under: Manihot esculenta (cassava)
Lineage: Eukaryota; Viridiplantae; Streptophyta; Magnoliopsida; Malpighiales; Euphorbiaceae
Description: long non-coding RNA (MESC_LNC005296)
Source: RNAcentral